GACGAACGCUGGCGGCGUGCUUAACGCAUGCAAGUCGAACGGUGAAGCGCCUUCCUUUUUGGUGGGUGUGGAUGAGUGGCGAACGGGUGAGUAACACGUGAGUAACCUGCCCCCUUCUUCUGGAUAACCGCAUGAAAGUGUGGCUAAUACGGGAUAUUCUGGGUCUGUCGCAUGAUGGGUCUGGGAAAGAUAUUGUUUCGGUGGGGGAUGGGCUCGCGGCCUAUCAGCUUGUUGGUGGGGUGAUGGCCUACCAAGGCGGUGACGGGUAGCCGGCCUGAGAGGGUGACCGGCCACAUUGGGACUGAGAUACGGCCCAGACUCCUACGGGAGGCAGCAGUGGGGAAUAUUGCACAAUGGGCGGAAGCCUGAUGCAGCGACGCCGCGUGCGGGAUGAAGGCCUUCGGGUUGUAAACCGCUUUCGCCUGUGACGAAGCGUGAGUGACGGUAAUGGGUAAAGAAGCACCGGCUAACUACGUG
RNAcentral lists this ribosomal RNA (477 nucleotides) under uncultured bacterium. RNAcentral describes it as "partial 16S ribosomal RNA". It matches the Rfam family "Bacterial small subunit ribosomal RNA", at positions 28 to 507 of the family's 1533-position model. The record is from RNAcentral.